GUCCUGAUAGCUUAAUUAAAGCACUGGUCUUGUAAGCCAGAGACUGUAGCCUGACCCCUACUCAAGACU
This 69-nucleotide transfer RNA is filed under the name Odorrana exiliversabilis. Its description in RNAcentral is "tRNA-Thr". It matches the Rfam family "tRNA". From Rfam's summary of the family: Transfer RNA (tRNA) molecules are approximately 80 nucleotides in length. Their secondary structure includes four short double-helical elements and three loops (D, anti-codon, and T loops). Further hydrogen bonds mediate the characteristic L-shaped molecular structure. tRNAs have two regions of fundamental functional importance: the anti-codon, which is responsible for specific mRNA codon recognition, and the 3' end, to which the tRNAs corresponding amino acid is attached (by aminoacyl-tRNA synthetases). tRNAs cope with the degeneracy of the genetic code in two manners: having more than one tRNA (with a specific anti-codon) for a particular amino acid; and 'wobble' base-pairing, i.e. permitting non-standard base-pairing at the 3rd anti-codon position. The record is from RNAcentral. Lineage: Eukaryota; Metazoa; Chordata; Amphibia; Anura; Ranidae.